UUUUGAGGCAAUUUCUCUUGAGGAAAUCUUGCAUUUAAUUGCAAAAUAAUCUCUUGAUUUUUGUCAAAAGCACAGAGACCUAGUUCUACCAAACACUGCUUAUUCUUUUUAAAGGUUAAAAGGUUAUAAUUCAGCACACACACAGCAAUGUUUCCUGGGUGGUCCUGGGUGAUUAUGGGCUUCCUGGAGAUCCAAAAAUGGAUGAUGGAGGAGAAAAACAUAGAUAAUAAAAAGAAGUACAUCAUAAACCCAGAGGAUUUGGGUACAGACGUGGACACCGGUCUCCGUGAGGAGGAAUUCGAUGCUUAUGUGUCUGAAGAGAUUGACAAUGUUA
Molecule: long non-coding RNA, 334 nt
Organism: Saccostrea echinata
Lineage: Eukaryota; Metazoa; Mollusca; Bivalvia; Ostreida; Ostreidae
Exons: 3
Source: RefSeq, a predicted model, not a curated record